UACUCAAAAAGAAAAACCUGGAGCUCGCAACAACUACGCGCAAACUGGAACAAAAAGUGCAGGAACUCAAAAAAGAUAUGUGCGAGAGAACAAGGCCAGAGGUCACUGGGUCUCAGACGGCGACUCUGCUCCAUCUACCACUCCGAGCUCGACACCGCUCAGCGGCCGUCGCACCUCCGCGAAAAUCCCUCCCGCCGUUAGCCGCGGCUGCUGUCAGACCAGGAAAGCCAGCAGUCCGGCGCACACGAGCUACGAGUCAACCAGCCGAGCCGUUGGGGAAGGACGAAUCGCCUCCGCAGCUAACCAGCGCUGGAGAGAAGCUAACAAAUGAGGAGAAAAGGGAACUAUCUGCUACACAACUGAUGUGCGCACAAACCAGCGCACAAUCCCAUCAGCCUGACGCUGCUGUCGCGGAGAGCCGGUCUCUGCUGUCACUGAGCGACUGUGAGCCACGGGAAGGGCGACGGUCGGGGUCUCCGGAGGUGUCAGCAAGUCGACUGAGCCCUACUGACACCGACCGACAGGAGAAAGGAUGCCGCUCAGAACCUGGAAAGGUUGAGAAGACAUCUCACGACGCGAGGUCCCGACGU
This is a long non-coding RNA of Amphibalanus amphitrite, 590 nucleotides long. RefSeq lists it as uncharacterized. The record is from RefSeq and is a predicted model, not a curated record. The transcript is spliced from 3 exons. NCBI's taxonomy places the organism in Eukaryota, Metazoa, Arthropoda, Thecostraca, Balanomorpha, Balanidae.